This is a long non-coding RNA of Canis lupus familiaris (dog), 1721 nucleotides long. RefSeq lists it as uncharacterized. NCBI's taxonomy places the organism in Eukaryota, Metazoa, Chordata, Mammalia, Carnivora, Canidae. The transcript is spliced from 3 exons. The record is from RefSeq and is a predicted model, not a curated record.
CUUUAGUUUUUUGGGCUUCCCUUAUCCCUCUUAACUCACCCAUUGUCAAUUUUCUUGGUACAUCCAGAAGCAAGCCAGCGUCCAGUAGCUGAUUCACUGUGUUCAGUGUGACUGAUCCACCAAGCUUCCAUUUUCAAAACUAUUUUUGAAGAACUAUUUUUCAUUUUUUUCCCCUGCUUCCUGUUGCUACCAGUUGGAGACUGAGAGAAACAGAGACACGGAGACUGGGGCAUAAGGAAGAUAUUUCACAUGGAACCUGGGUAUUGUCUUGGAAGGUUUAUUCCACUCUUCAAAACUCCCGGAAAAACUGACACACAUCAGCCUGCUGAUCUCACAAGUAUAUUCUCUGUGGCAGGAACUUGAGGAAGCCAUCAUUUCCAUCUUAAGUAGAAACUGAAGCUUUUUUUUUUUUUUUUUCCUUUUAAUUACUGGUUGUUUCAGACCUUAGAAAAACAGGAAGUGAAAGGAAUCAAGAACUCUUUCCAAACAGAAUUCCUUUCAAUGCUCCAGGACUAUGUUUAAGUGACGAAACCUAGGGAUGAAGGUAUCUAUCCCAAAUCACAACUGUGCCUCUGAGAUUGAAGCAGACCGUUGGCAGCCCCGGGAGAUCCACGCUGCCAUCAUGAUAUUACCUUAUUAGAGACUUCAACCUAAGAAAUUUAUAAACAUAAAAUGCUUUUUAAAAUACUUGCUCUUUUAUUUGCCACUUGCAGAAACCACAGUAAGCACUUCAUAAGGGUGAAGAAAGUGCAUACUGUUCUUCACUCGUGGGGAUGCUCUGAUAACCCCUAGAAAGUGUGGAGUAAGCUGAGAAGGGAACGAGGACUGGAAUCCCGCCAGCCCCUGGCACUGCUUCUUGAUGGCUGUACCAGAUGUCUGAAUCAAGCUCAGCAGAAGGGCCAGGUGUUCUUUUAAAUUUGAAAUUACAAGCAGAAACAUAAUACUGUUUUUCGUCUUCUUUGAAAAGGGAAGGGAAUUAAGAAGGAAGGCAUUUAGAGGAUAAAAAAGUGGUGGCCAUUGACCUGACUCGGAUUGAGACUUCUCAGCCAGAUCUCUGCUAGAAAACCAUUUCCUUUUCCUACUCUGAAUUAGUGGUGGCCCCAUGGUCUCAGACCUCUGCCCUCUCUUCCUGACCACAGAGAAGUUCUCGGCCGAUCAAAGAGGACAAACGCUCCGAGGAGACUGCUCUGCCUCCCUGAGUGGAGGACAUGCAUGCCUCUCCAGGGAACUGUUUCCUCUAGACUUUCUCUAGCAGCGUGACAGCAUCUUAAAAAAUGUCUGGACUUAAAAAGGCAAAAAGUCAAUCUUCAGGCUUGUGUUAAGGAAGAAAGAAGACAGGCUGGUCAAAAUUAUAUCCACUAGACAUGCAGUCAGUGAGCCGGCGUACUUUUCCAUAAGCCAACAAAUAUAAAAAACAAGAUGUGAUGGUGUCCAUUGGUUGGAUUAGAAACAAGGAAACUGCAAAAGGAUUUACCAAAGGUGGCUUUGAAUGGGUCUACUCUCCUUCUAGUAGACUGUUCUGUCUGUUAAAGAAAUUAUUCAGAGGAUCAGGCCUGGCUUCUCCUCAGCUUCCUGAUGUACUCAUUCAACUCUACAUUUAGAAUUCCUUGGACACAGUUUCACCUGUUUAUGGUUUCAUCUCCCAGAUUCUAGACAGCUGUGACAUCUUGGAGAUGCACAAUGGCCAGGUUAGUUAUGAUGUGAAAUGGCAUCGUGCCAGC